UCGCCUAUUGCCUAAAACAUCU
Molecule: non-coding RNA, 22 nt
Filed under: Arabidopsis thaliana (thale cress)
Lineage: Eukaryota; Viridiplantae; Streptophyta; Magnoliopsida; Brassicales; Brassicaceae
Source: RNAcentral